UAAAGAAGAAGGUGGUUUUGUGUAGCCUCCCUGAUCCCCAAUCCAAUCUCUCUGUGGCUCUUUCUUCUUUGUAAUUCCAGAGCCAGUGAUUCCCUGUAGCAGUUUUGGAGAAAUAGCCAGAAGCUUGCUGAUUUUCACCCUCCCAGCAGAUGAGCAUAGACACAUGUUCACUUGUGAAUGUGGACAGGCUUGUGACCAUUUUGACCAAUAUGAUAUAAUGGAAUGGAAUGAGGCUAUAUGGAUUCCAAGGGUAGGUCAUAAGGGGGCAUGUGGGUUCUGCUUGAUUCUCUUAGAAUGUUCAUUCUUUGGACUCCCAAGUCAACAUGCGUAGGAAGUCUCAACUACACAUGGGUGUUCCAGGUCACAGUAUUAGAAGACUCAUCUUGGUCAGAACCCCAGGAGUAGAUAUAUAGGAGGUUCCCUAGCCAUCUGAGAAGUUCUUGCUGAAAGUCUGAAGUGGAGGACCGAGACAAGCCACUCCUGUCUGCUGUGUUCUGUUCACAUUCCUGAUCCACACCAUCCAUGCUCAUGAAAAAGGGGUUAUUCCUGGCCACUGGUGUGUGUGUGUGUGUGUGUGUGUGUGUGUGUGUGUGUGUGUGUGUGUGUGUAUGAUAUACUGUGGUAGGCAACCAGAAUAAUGAGGAACAUAUUGAGACGUUAGGCUUUCUGUUCAGUCAUAAGUCCCAUAGGUUGUGAGUUCCAGCCCGUCAGCCUUCCUGCCUUUUAAAGUUCAUGAUACCGUUUUUGAAAACUACUGUUAAAAUCAGUAGGUUAUAGCCUUUUCUUGACAUUAUUCGUUGGAGCAUCCCAGAUACUUUUCACGGGACCGUAGGAAUGUUGCUCAGGGGGAGUAGACACAGGAGCUUGGCGUUUCUUGAGGGAUUGGUUAGAGAUCCUAGCAGCUCAGUGAAUCUUUGAAUAUAUCCUUGACUAAAAGAGUGGUUCUCCAUCAGCAGAGAUCAUUCUUUGUGACUGAGCGAGCUGCUCUGCCUGCAUACAGGAUGGUCAAAGGGGAAAAGGAGUCUGGCCACCUGGAUCCAUCAGCUGGAUCCACCCAGGUGGCAGUCGCAUGAUAGAUGUUGCAGACAGAGCAUCUUCACAUCUGGAGUUUGACAUUUCUGCGUGAAGAGUGAGCAGAAGGCUUAAGGAGCCCUCUUCUUUGCCGUCCUGGGGACUUCUGUUUAUUUUCUAGUUCCCUAGCGUGUUCCAUAGCACUGGACAUGAACCUGGGGCAGGAUGAAGAUUUAGUAACUGUGAAAGGCAAUUAGACAUGGAACUUGUAUAGUUAUUGUUAGGUCAGAGAAUUGGAGAAUAAUCCACCAUGAAAACCAAGGAAACUGAUCUAUCAGGGAGACUGCUAGGUUAGGGAUCCUAACCAUGUCAGUGGAUGGGGGUCGGGAUUGAGCAACUUUUUAAAGAAAAAGCCCAUAAAUUAGGUAGGGCAGGGGAAAGGGGAGGUACAGCCAUUUGUGUUCAUGUAUUUUGUGUAUUUCCAACUGUCUUUCACAUCUGGCAUCUUAAGUGGGUUACUACCUGUCUAAUACCUCAGUUUCCCUGAUAACUUGGCUUAGAUAAAGACCAACCAAUCAGAGUCGUCAUAGCAGUGGCUAGGGUUCGGUUCCUAACUGGAUACUAACCAACAAAGCAUUGCGUGAGAUAGUGUGGCCUAAGUUCAUGCUGGGCAACUGGGGCCAGAAGCCAUUUCUGGGAAUUUAGCUGUUUCUUAGAAUUCAGCCCAAUACAAGAUGGAGAUGUUUUACGAGAUGGGGUUUCUUGAGGCUGAAGUGGCUUCUAACAUAACCUAGGAAAUAAGCUGCAAGUCGGACUCUAGAGUUUGUUUGCAAAACUUGGCAGGCGCUAUGUCCCAUCAGAGCUAAGAAAUGGAUUUCAGGUGGACUGAGCCAAUAGACAAUUAAGGUACUAAAUACAUACCAGUAAAUGGCCAAA
Molecule: non-coding RNA, 1947 nt
Organism: Rattus norvegicus (Norway rat)
Lineage: Eukaryota; Metazoa; Chordata; Mammalia; Rodentia; Muridae
Source: RefSeq, a predicted model, not a curated record